AACGAACGCUGGCGGCAGGCUUAACACAUGCAAGUCGAACGGGUGCAGCAAUGCAUCAGUGGCAGACGGGUGAGUAACACGUGGGAACCUUCCUAGGGGUACGGAACAACUCAGGGAAACUUGAGCUAAUACCGUAUACGUCCGUAAGGAGAAAGAUUCAUCGCCCCUAGACGGGCCCGCGUCGGAUUAGGUAGUUGGUGGGGUAACGGCCUACCAAGCCUACGAUCCGUAGCUGAUCUGAGAGGAUGAUCAGCCACACUGGGACUGAGACACGGCCCAGAUUCCUACGGGAGGCAGCAGUGGGGAAUCUUGGACAAUGGGCGCAAGCCUGAUCCAGCCAUGCCG
RNAcentral lists this ribosomal RNA (345 nucleotides) under uncultured bacterium. RNAcentral describes it as "bacterial SSU rRNA". It matches the Rfam family "Bacterial small subunit ribosomal RNA", at positions 29 to 399 of the family's 1533-position model. The record is from RNAcentral.